GACGAACGCUGGCGGCGUGCUUAACACAUGCAAGUCGAACGGAAAGGCCCUGCUUUUGUGGGGUGCUCGAGUGGCGAACGGGUGAGUAACACGUGAGUAACCUGCCCUUGACUUUGGGAUAACUUCAGGAAACUGGGGCUAAUACCGGAUAGGAGCUCCUGCUGCAUGGUGGGGGUUGGAAAGUUUCGGCGGUUGGGGAUGGACUCGCGGCUUAUCAGCUUGUUGGGGGGGUAGUGGCUUACCAAGGCUUUGACGGGUAGCCGGCCUGAGAGGGUGACCGGCGACAUGGGGACUGAGAUACGGACCAGACUGCUACGGGAGGCAGAAGUGGGGAAUAUUGCACAAUGGGCGGAAGCCUGAUGCAGCAACGCCGCGUGCGGGAUGACGGCCUUCGGGUGGUAAACCGCUUUGGCCUGUGACGAAGCGUGAGUGACGGUAAUGGGUAAAGAAGCACCGGCUAACUACGUG
This 468-nucleotide ribosomal RNA is filed under the name uncultured bacterium. RNAcentral describes it as "partial 16S ribosomal RNA". It matches the Rfam family "Bacterial small subunit ribosomal RNA", at positions 28 to 507 of the family's 1533-position model. The record is from RNAcentral.